AGUGAACGCUGGCGGUAGGCCUAACACAUGCAAGUCGAACGGCAGCACAGUAAGAGCUUGCUCUUACGGGUGGCGAGUGGCGGACGGGUGAGGAAUACAUCGGAGUCUACUUUUUCGUGGGGGAUAACGUAGGGAAACUUACGCUAAUACCGCAUACGACCUACGGGUGAAAGCAGGGGAUCUUCGGACCUUGCGCGAUUGAAUGAGCCGAUGUCGGAUUAGCUAGUUGGCGGGGUAAAGGCCCACCAAGGCGACGAUCCGUAGCUGGUCUGAGAGGAUGAUCAGUCACACUGGAACUGAGACACGGUCCAGACUCCUACGGGAGGCAGCAGUGGGGAAUAUUGGACAAUGGGCGAAAGCCUGAUCCAGCCAUACCGCGUGGGUGAAGAAGGCCUUCGGGUUGUAAAGCCCUUUUGUUUGGAAAGAAAAGCAGCAGGUUAAUACCCCGCUGUUCUGACGGUACCAAAAGAAUAAGCACCGGCUAACUUCGUG
Molecule: ribosomal RNA, 492 nt
Filed under: uncultured bacterium
Lineage: Bacteria
Description: partial 16S ribosomal RNA
Rfam family: Bacterial small subunit ribosomal RNA
Source: RNAcentral